UACGAAGGGGGCUAGCGUUGCUCGGAAUCACUGGGCGUAAAGGGCGCGUAGGCGGCUUUCUAAGUCAGGGGUGAAAUCCUGGAGCUCAACUCCAGAACUGCCUUUGAUACUGGAGAGCUUGAGUCCGGGAGAGGUGAGUGGAACUCCGAGUGUAGAGGUGAAAUUCGUAGAUAUUCGGAAGAACACCAGUGGCGAAGGCGGCUCACUGGCCCGGUACUGACGCUGAUGUGCGAAAGCGUGGGGAGCAAACAGG
This 253-nucleotide ribosomal RNA is filed under the name uncultured bacterium. RNAcentral's name for it is "partial 16S ribosomal RNA". It matches the Rfam family "Bacterial small subunit ribosomal RNA", at positions 524 to 776 of the family's 1533-position model. The record is from RNAcentral.